ACGCUCGACACCUACGGGGGGCAGCAGUAGGGAAUUUUCGUCAAUGGGGGCAACCCUGAACGAGCAAUGCCGCGUGAGUGAAGAAGGUCUUCGGAUCGUAAAGCUCUGUUGUAAGAGAAAAACGGCCUUCAUAGGGAAUGAUGGAGGAGUGAUGGUAUCUUACCAGAAAGCCACGGCUAACUACGUGCCAGCAGCCGCGGUAAUCUGAGCGGGCUGGCAAGGC
RNAcentral lists this ribosomal RNA (223 nucleotides) under uncultured bacterium. RNAcentral's name for it is "partial 16S ribosomal RNA". It matches the Rfam family "Bacterial small subunit ribosomal RNA", at positions 328 to 539 of the family's 1533-position model. The record is from RNAcentral.